Molecule: unclassified non-coding RNA, 162 nt
Filed under: soil metagenome
Description: partial internal transcribed spacer 1
Source: RNAcentral
ACGAGUUUUUAAUUGUUAGGUUAGAGUUGAGCUGGUUAAUCUAAUUAAUACGUGCUUACUCUAAUCGAAACAAAGUCCCACUCAUUACUUACAACUUGUGAACUUAUUCAUUAUAAACAUUAUUAUUUGUUAUUGGAACGUUUGAUUAUUAAAAAGUUAAUA